Molecule: ribosomal RNA, 253 nt
Filed under: uncultured bacterium
Lineage: Bacteria
Description: partial 16S ribosomal RNA
Rfam family: Bacterial small subunit ribosomal RNA
Source: RNAcentral
UACGUAGGGUGCAAGCGUUGUCCGGAAUUAUUGGGCGUAAAGAGCUCGUAGGCGGUUUGUUGCGUCGGCUGUGAAAUCCCGAGGCUCAACCUCGGGUCUGCAGUCGAUACGAGCAAACUAGAGUGUUGCAGGGGAGACUGGAAUUCCUGGUGUAGCGGUGAAAUGCGCAGAUAUCAGGAGGAACACCGGUGGCGAAGGCGGGUCUCUGGGCAACAACUGACGCUGAGGAGCGAAAGCGUGGGGAGCGAUCCGG